GUACACUCCUGCGGGAGGCAGCAGUGGGGAAUAUUGCACAAUGGGCGCAAGCCUGAUGCAGCCAUGCCGCGUGUAUGAAGAAGGCCUUCGGGUUGUAAAGUACUUUCAGCGGGGAGGAAGGCGAUAAGGUUAAUAACCUUGUUGAUUGACGUUACCCGCAGAAGAAGCACCGGCUAACUCCGUGCCAGCAGCCGCGGUAAUACGGAGGGUGCAAGCGUUAAUCGGAAUUACUGGGCGUAAAGCGCACGCAGGCGGUCUGUCAAGUCGGAUGUGAAAUCCCCGGGCUCAACCUGGGAACUGCAUUCGAAACUGGCAGGCUAGAGUCUUGUAGAGGGGGGUAGAAUUCCAGGUGUAGCGGUGAAAUGCGUAGAGAUCUGGAGGAAUACCGGUGGCGAAGGCGGCCCCCUGGACAAAGACUGACGCUCAGGUGCGAAAGCGUGGGGAGCAAACAGGAUUAGAAACCCCAGUAGUCCCAUGA
Molecule: ribosomal RNA, 478 nt
Filed under: uncultured organism
Description: partial 16S ribosomal RNA
Rfam family: Bacterial small subunit ribosomal RNA
Source: RNAcentral